This 484-nucleotide ribosomal RNA is filed under the name uncultured bacterium. Its description in RNAcentral is "bacterial SSU rRNA". It matches the Rfam family "Bacterial small subunit ribosomal RNA", at positions 15 to 518 of the family's 1533-position model. The record is from RNAcentral.
GAUCAUGGCUCAGGACGAACGCUGGCGGCAUGCUUCAUACAUGCAAGUCGAACGAUAAGGUCUCUUCGGAGAUACAUAAGUGGCGGACGGGUGAGUAAUAUGUAGGAAAUCUGCCCUUGAGAGGGGGACAACAGAGGGAAACUUCUGCUAAUACCCCAUAUGAGCGUACCUGAAAUGGUAUUCUUGAAAACUCCGGUGCUCAAGGAUGAGCCUGCAUCUGAUUAGCUUGUUGGCGGUGUAAUGGACCACCAAGGCGACGAUCAGUAGCUGGUUUGAGAGGAUGAUCAGCCACAAUGGGACUGAGACACGGCCCAUACUCCUACGGGAGGCAGCAGUAGGGAAUUUUGCGCAAUGGGCGAAAGCCUGAACCGCAGCAAUGCCGCGUGAACGUAGAAGCCCUUCGGGGUGUAAAGUUCUGUCAGUGGGGACGAAUAAUGACGGUACCCACAGAGGAAGCACCGGCUAACUCCGUGCCAGCAGCGGC